GAUGAACGCUAGCUACAGGCUUAACACAUGCAAGUCGAGGGGUAACGAGAGGAAAGCUUGCUUUCCUUGUCGACGACCGGCGCACGGGUGAGUAACGCGUAUCCAACCUGCCCCCAACUAGGGAAUAGCCUUGCGAAAGUAAGACUAAUACCCUAUAAUUUCCUCAGAUGACAUCUGACGAGGAAUAAAGAUUUAUCGGUUGUGGAUGGGGAUGCGUCUGAUUAGCCUGUUGGCGGGGUAACGGCCCACCAAGGCAACGAUCAGUAGGGGUUCUGAGAGGAAGGUCCCCCACAUUGGAACUGAGACACGGUCCAAACUCCUACGGGAGGCAGCAGUGAGGAAUAUUGGUCAAUGGGCGGAAGCCUGAACCAGCCAAGUAGCGUGCAGGAUGACGGCCCUAUGGGUUGUAAACUGCUUUUAUACAGGAAUAAAGUUAGCCACGUGUGGUUAUUUGUAGGUACUGUAUGAAUAAGGACCGGCUAAUUCCGUGCCAGCCGCCGCCGUAA
This 506-nucleotide ribosomal RNA is filed under the name uncultured bacterium. RNAcentral's name for it is "partial 16S ribosomal RNA". It matches the Rfam family "Bacterial small subunit ribosomal RNA", at positions 28 to 523 of the family's 1533-position model. The record is from RNAcentral.